AGAACGACACAUUCGCUACAGCGGUAAAAGUAAAAAAUAAUCUUUUAAACAAAAGAAUCAUUAUCAAAUGAUGUAAUUUUCCACCGGACUGAACUGUAUGUUCUAAUAAGCUGUUCUUUUGAACAUACUGUUAUGUUUGAUGGGGCCAUUCUCAUUUACUGCUGGACCGGUUUGACUUGUAAUUAAUUGUAACCCACGGUAAAUAUUAAGUAGGAAUCUUGUAGUAAUAUAAAUAUUAAAAGUUAAAGAAAUUAAAGUAGAAAAUACUCUAUUUGUUU
RNAcentral lists this long non-coding RNA (278 nucleotides) under Brassica rapa (field mustard). RNAcentral describes it as "long non-coding RNA (BRAP_LNC005594)". Lineage: Eukaryota; Viridiplantae; Streptophyta; Magnoliopsida; Brassicales; Brassicaceae. The record is from RNAcentral.